UUGUGUCUCUUUUCAGUGCUGAAUGAAAGUAAACACCUUCGCAAUUCCUGUUUGUCCCCAAAAAAGACAGAAAAAUAUCCUCAUUAUGUUCAUUGGAGACAUAGAUUUGCAUGCAUAUAUCCUCCUCUUUCCAGAGUUCCGUACUUGUGUGGAGUUGAACUUGAACUGGUAAGCUCGGAUCAACAUUUGGUUUAAUUCGAAGUAGUCAAGAUCAUUGUUGGGAGCCAUGGAUCCUGACCCAAUAUGAUGCUUCUACCAUUGCCUAUAUUAAAUUGAGCCACCGCAAGUUGCACACCACGUCCUCUUAGAAGGGAGGUUCAACCAUAAGAUGGUUGCAUGUGACUUGUGAUCCUUGUUUAGCCGUUAACAACGUCCCUCGUGAGAAGUUGUCCGCGUCCGUGUCAAUCUUUGUUUACGAAAUUAGUUAGUAUCUGAUGUAUCUUCCAAACUUGAUU
Molecule: long non-coding RNA, 455 nt
Organism: Arabidopsis thaliana (thale cress)
Lineage: Eukaryota; Viridiplantae; Streptophyta; Magnoliopsida; Brassicales; Brassicaceae
Product: other RNA
Exons: 1
Source: RefSeq